UUCAUUUCACAAUUUGCAUCAGAUUCAAGGAAUUCCCAAAAUUGAGAAUCUCUCUACAAGAAAUCCCAACAGGAAGAUUAGAAGAAGGGGAUUAGAUGCCAAGCCUCCCUAAUCCACUGGGGUCAAAUGCAACUCCCUUGCUCAGUCCACCAGUACACCACACCUGUCCUUUUGUUGCCCCUUCUUGGAUUCUUGAUGCCCCUCAC
Molecule: long non-coding RNA, 206 nt
Filed under: Spirodela polyrhiza (greater duckweed)
Lineage: Eukaryota; Viridiplantae; Streptophyta; Magnoliopsida; Alismatales; Araceae
Description: long non-coding RNA (SPOL_LNC000402)
Source: RNAcentral